GAUCGCCUACGGGGGGCAGCAGUGAGGAAUAUUGGUCAAUGGGCGAGAGCCUGAACCAGCCAAGUCGCGUGAAGGAUGGCGGCCCUACGGGUUGUAAACUUCUUUUGUCAGGGAGCAAUUGGGUCCACGCGUGGGCUUAGCGAGAGUACCUGAAGAAAAAGCAUCGGCUAACUCCGUGCCAGCAGCCGCGGUAAUACGUAGGGUGCGAGCGUUAAUCGGAAUUACUGGGCGUAAAGGGUGUGCAGGCGGCUGAGUAAGACAGAUGGGAAAUCCCCGGGCUUAACCUGGGAACCGCAUAUGUGACU
RNAcentral lists this ribosomal RNA (305 nucleotides) under uncultured bacterium. Its description in RNAcentral is "bacterial SSU rRNA". It matches the Rfam family "Bacterial small subunit ribosomal RNA", at positions 333 to 634 of the family's 1533-position model. The record is from RNAcentral.